CGGUGGAAAGUGGGGGACCUUCGGGCCUCACGCUAUUGGAUGAGCCUAAGUCGGAUUAGCUUGUUGGUGGGGUAAUGGCUCACCAAGGCGACGAUCCGUAGCUGGUCUGAGAGGACGAUCAGCCACACUGGGACUGAGACACGGCCCAGACUCCUACGGGAGGCAGCAGUGGGGAAUAUUGGACAAUGGGCGCAAGCCUGAUCCAGCAAUGCCGCGUGUGUGAAGAAGGCCUGCGGGUUGUAAAGCACUUUCAGUAGAGAAGAAAAGCCUGAGGUUAAUACCCUCGAGUCUUGACGUAACCUACAGAAGAAGCACCGGCUAACUCCGUG
Molecule: ribosomal RNA, 329 nt
Filed under: uncultured bacterium
Lineage: Bacteria
Description: bacterial SSU rRNA
Rfam family: Bacterial small subunit ribosomal RNA
Source: RNAcentral